RNAcentral lists this ribosomal RNA (339 nucleotides) under uncultured soil bacterium. RNAcentral's name for it is "bacterial SSU rRNA". It matches the Rfam family "Bacterial small subunit ribosomal RNA", at positions 26 to 394 of the family's 1533-position model. The record is from RNAcentral.
AGAGCGAACGCUGGCGGCAUGCCUAAUACAUGCAAGUCGAACGAGAUCUUCGGAUCUAGUGGCGCACGGGUGCGUAACGCGUGGGAAUCUACCCUUGGGUUCGGAAUAACAGUUGGAAACGACUGCUAAUACCGGAUGAUGACGAAAGUCCAAAGAUUUAUCGCCCAAGGAUGAGCCCGCGUAGGAUUAGCUAGUUGGUGAGGUAAGCUCACCAAGGCUACGAUCCUUAGCUGGUCUGAGAGGAUGAUCAGCCACACUGGGACUGAGACACGGCCCAGACUCCGUACGGGAGGCAGCAGGUAGGAAUAUUGGACAAGUGGGGACAACCUGACUCAGCAA